GGGUCUGUAGUUUAGUCUGGAUAAAACAUCCGGCUUCGGACCGGAAGAUCCUGGGUUCGAAUCCUAGCAGGCCCG
RNAcentral lists this transfer RNA (75 nucleotides) under Candidatus Woesearchaeota archaeon. RNAcentral's name for it is "tRNA-Arg". It matches the Rfam family "tRNA". Rfam says of the family: Transfer RNA (tRNA) molecules are approximately 80 nucleotides in length. The record is from RNAcentral. Lineage: Archaea; Nanobdellati; Candidatus Woesearchaeota.